RNAcentral lists this ribosomal RNA (204 nucleotides) under uncultured bacterium. RNAcentral describes it as "partial 16S ribosomal RNA". It matches the Rfam family "Bacterial small subunit ribosomal RNA", at positions 524 to 726 of the family's 1533-position model. The record is from RNAcentral.
UACAGAGGGUGCGAGCGUUGUUCGGAAUUACUGGGCGUAAAGCGCGCGCAGGCGGCCCUUUAAGUCCAUCGGUCAAAUGCCGGAGCUCAACUCCGUGCGUGCCGAGGAUACUGGAGGGCUGGAGACACGUAGAGGCAAGCGGAAUUCCGGGUGUAGCGGUGGAAUGCGUAGAGAUCCGGAAGAACACCGGAGGCGAAGGCGGCU